This is a non-coding RNA of Ciona savignyi (Pacific transparent sea squirt), 73 nucleotides long. The record is from Rfam. Lineage: Eukaryota; Metazoa; Chordata; Ascidiacea; Phlebobranchia; Cionidae.
GCCUCGAUAGUUCAGUCGGGAGAGCGUUAGACUGAAGAUCUAAAGGUCCUUGGUUCAAUCCCGGGUCGAGGCA